Molecule: transfer RNA, 73 nt
Filed under: Mustela putorius furo (domestic ferret)
Lineage: Eukaryota; Metazoa; Chordata; Mammalia; Carnivora; Mustelidae
Rfam family: tRNA
About the family: Transfer RNA (tRNA) molecules are approximately 80 nucleotides in length.
Source: Rfam by way of RNAcentral
ACCUGGUUGGCUCAGUCAGUAAAGCAUGUGACUCCUGAUCUCAGGGUCAUGAGUUCAAGCCUCACAUUGGAUG